UGAAGAUGCACCAGAUGUUGAGAGGCC
Molecule: microRNA, 27 nt
Filed under: Bombyx mori (domestic silkworm)
Lineage: Eukaryota; Metazoa; Arthropoda; Insecta; Lepidoptera; Bombycidae
Description: bmo-miR-3374-5p
Source: miRBase by way of RNAcentral